This 270-nucleotide ribosomal RNA is filed under the name uncultured archaeon. Its description in RNAcentral is "partial 16S ribosomal RNA". It matches the Rfam family "Archaeal small subunit ribosomal RNA", at positions 477 to 747 of the family's 1478-position model. The record is from RNAcentral.
CAGCACCUCAAGUGGUCAGGAUGAUUAUUGGGCCUAAAGCAUCCGUAGCCGGCGCUGUAAGUUUUCGGUUAAAUCUGUACGCUCAACGUAUGGGCUGCCGGGAAUACUGCACAGCUAGGGAGUGGGAGAGGUAGACGGUACUCGGUAGGAAGGGGUAAAAUCCUUUGAUCUAUUGAUGACCACCUGUGGCGAAGGCGGUCUACCAGAACACGUCCGACGGUGAGGGAUGAAAGCUGGGGGAGCAAACCGGAUUAGAUACCCGAGUAGUCC